Molecule: long non-coding RNA, 212 nt
Organism: Oncorhynchus keta (chum salmon)
Lineage: Eukaryota; Metazoa; Chordata; Actinopteri; Salmoniformes; Salmonidae
Exons: 3
Source: RefSeq, a predicted model, not a curated record
UUCUCUCCAGGUAUGUUACAGGUGUAUGAUUGUAGUUCUCUCCAGGUAUGCUACAGGUGUAUGAUUGUAGUUCUCUCCAGGUAUGCUACAGGUGUAUGAUUGUAGUUCUCUCCAGGUAUGUUACAGGUGUAUGAUUGUAGUUCUCUCCAGGUAUGCUACAGGUGUAUGAUUGUAGUUCUCUCCAGGUAUGUUACAGGUGUAUGAUUGUAGUU